CGGGGUGCAGCAGGCGCGAAAACUUUACAAUGCGGGAAACCGUGAUAAGGGGACACCGAGUGCCAGCAUCAUAUGCUGGCUGUCCAGGUGUGUAAACUACACCUGUUAGCAAGGGCCGGGCAAGACCGGUGCCAGCCGCCGCGGUAACACCGGCGGCCCGAGUGGUGAUCGUGAUUAUUGGGUCUAAAGGGUCCGUAGCCGGUUUGGUCAGUCCUCCGGGAAAUCUGACGGCUCAACCGUUAGGCUUUCGGGGGAUACUGCCAGGCUUGGAACCGGGAGAGGUAAGAGGUACUACAGGGGUAGGAGUGAAAUCUUGUAAUCCCUGUGGGACCACCUGUGGCGAAGGCGUCUUACCAGAACGGGUUCGACGGUGAGGGACGAAAGCUGGGGGCACGAACCGGAUUAGAUACCCGGGUAGUCCCAGCCGUAAACGAUGCUCGCUAGGUGUCAGGCAUGGCGCGACCGUGUCUGGUGCCGCAGGGAAGCCGUGAAGCGAGCCACCUGGGAAGU
This 510-nucleotide ribosomal RNA is filed under the name uncultured archaeon. RNAcentral's name for it is "bacterial SSU rRNA". It matches the Rfam family "Archaeal small subunit ribosomal RNA", at positions 326 to 836 of the family's 1478-position model. The record is from RNAcentral.